This 492-nucleotide ribosomal RNA is filed under the name uncultured bacterium. RNAcentral's name for it is "partial 16S ribosomal RNA". It matches the Rfam family "Bacterial small subunit ribosomal RNA", at positions 29 to 506 of the family's 1533-position model. The record is from RNAcentral.
AGUGAACGCUGGCGGUAGGCCUAACACAUGCAAGUCGAACGGCAGCACAGUAAGAGCUUGCUCUUACGGGUGGCGAGUGGCGGACGGGUGAGGAAUACAUCGGAAUCUACUUUUUCGUGGGGGAUAACGUAGGGAAACUUACGCUAAUACCGCAUACGACCUACGGGUGAAAGCAGGGGAUCUUCGGACCUUGCGCGAUUGAAUGAGCCGAUGUCGGAUUAGCUAGUUGGCGGGAUAAAGGCCCACCAAGGCGACGAUCCGUAGCUGGUCUGAGAGGAUGAACCGCCAACAGUGGACCAAAAACCCGGCCCAACCCCCCACGGGGGGCAGCAGUGGGGAUUUUGGAAAAAUGGGCGCAACCCUGACCCCCCCUCCCCGCGUGGGUGAAGAAGCCCUCUGGGUUGUAAACCCUUUUUGUGGGAAAAAAAAAACAGCGGUUUAACCCCCCGCUUUUCGGAGGGUCCCAAAAGAAAAAGCACCGCCAACCUUCGU